RNAcentral lists this transfer RNA (72 nucleotides) under Loa loa (African eye worm). RNAcentral describes it as "tRNA-Ala for anticodon AGC". It matches the Rfam family "tRNA". Rfam says of the family: Transfer RNA (tRNA) molecules are approximately 80 nucleotides in length. The record is from Rfam by way of RNAcentral. Lineage: Eukaryota; Metazoa; Nematoda; Chromadorea; Rhabditida; Onchocercidae.
GGGGAAAUAGCUCAGGAGUAGAGCGCUCCCUUAGCAUGGGAGAGGGCUGGGGUUCGAUUCCCCAUAUUUCCA